Long non-coding RNA from Magnolia sinica, 187 nucleotides. RefSeq lists it as uncharacterized. The record is from RefSeq and is a predicted model, not a curated record. The transcript is spliced from 2 exons. Lineage: Eukaryota; Viridiplantae; Streptophyta; Magnoliopsida; Magnoliales; Magnoliaceae.
UUAAAAAGCAAGAUCAGUCAACUAAAGAAAUGACAAAUUAACAAAAUGGCAUUCACCACUGUCCACUAUAAAUAAAAAUGGACAACAGAUCAUCAAAAUAAAUACAACAACUCACAAUGUCCCAGGAGUAGACAUCCAUAUAAAAAUUAAACAGGCAACUGCUGUUGACAGCGGACACAAAAUGAAA